This 440-nucleotide ribosomal RNA is filed under the name uncultured bacterium. RNAcentral describes it as "partial 16S ribosomal RNA". It matches the Rfam family "Bacterial small subunit ribosomal RNA", at positions 338 to 795 of the family's 1533-position model. The record is from RNAcentral.
CCUACGGGUGGCUGCAGUGGGGAAUAUUGGACAAUGGGCGAAAGCCUGAUCCAGCAAUGCCGCGUGAGUGAUGAAGGCCUUAGGGUUGUAAAGCUCUUUUACCAGGGAUGAUAAUGACAGUACCUGGAGAAUAAGCUCCGGCUAACUCCUUGCCAGCAGCCGCGGUCAUACGGAGGGCGCUAGCGUUUUUCGGAAUUACUGGGCGUAACGCGCACGUAGGCGGUUUUUCAAGUCAGUGGUGAAAGCCCGGAGCUCAACUCCGGAAUUGCCCUUGAAACUGGAUGACUAGAAUCUUGGAGAGGUCAGUGGAAUUCCGAGUGUAGAGGUGAAAUUCGUAGAGAUUCGGAAGAACACCAGUGGCGAAGGCGACUGACUGGACAAGUAUUGACGCUGAGGUGCGAAAGCGUGGGGAGCAAACAGGAUUAGAUACCCGAGUAGUC